CAUGUUUCUGUAGGGUGCGAUCUUUUUCUGAACCCUACUAACGUAAAAUACUUUGUGUAUCAAAUUGUAUAUGUGUACUUUGUUUGUGUGAGCUUGCUCAAGGUAUUAACUCCAACUCAGAUAAAAGAGGAGGGUUGAAAAAAAAUUAUACUCAUUACUUCAAAAGUCUCUUUUUCUGUCACGCGUAAAACUAGUCAAUUUAUAAUUUUCUUCACAAAUACAUAAUAUGUGUAUGUUCUCCUCCUGUGUAAGCUUGUUCAAAUUAUCGAUUCCUAAUUAACCAGCAUAAAAAUAGUCAAUUUAUGAUGAAUCUUCAUAAUAUAUAAGCUCGAAUGACCUAUUCCUAACUAGUUCAAAUGAAAGAAUAAGAUCAUAAUAGACUGACAAUCAACGUAAAAUUAAUCGAUUUAUGAGAAAUCUAACAACA
This 427-nucleotide long non-coding RNA is filed under the name Solanum tuberosum (potato). RNAcentral's name for it is "long non-coding RNA (STUB_LNC006067)". The record is from RNAcentral. Lineage: Eukaryota; Viridiplantae; Streptophyta; Magnoliopsida; Solanales; Solanaceae.